This 72-nucleotide transfer RNA is filed under the name Ictidomys tridecemlineatus (thirteen-lined ground squirrel). Its description in RNAcentral is "Spermophilus tridecemlineatus (thirteen-lined ground squirrel) tRNA". It matches the Rfam family "tRNA". From Rfam's summary of the family: Transfer RNA (tRNA) molecules are approximately 80 nucleotides in length. Their secondary structure includes four short double-helical elements and three loops (D, anti-codon, and T loops). Further hydrogen bonds mediate the characteristic L-shaped molecular structure. tRNAs have two regions of fundamental functional importance: the anti-codon, which is responsible for specific mRNA codon recognition, and the 3' end, to which the tRNAs corresponding amino acid is attached (by aminoacyl-tRNA synthetases). tRNAs cope with the degeneracy of the genetic code in two manners: having more than one tRNA (with a specific anti-codon) for a particular amino acid; and 'wobble' base-pairing, i.e. permitting non-standard base-pairing at the 3rd anti-codon position. The record is from Rfam by way of RNAcentral. Lineage: Eukaryota; Metazoa; Chordata; Mammalia; Rodentia; Sciuridae.
GGGGUUGUGGCUCAGUGGUAGAGCGCUUGCUUAGCAUGUGCAAGACCCUGGGUUCGAUCCUCAGCAUCACAU